Molecule: ribosomal RNA, 356 nt
Filed under: Paraputo sp. PJG-2003
Lineage: Eukaryota; Metazoa; Arthropoda; Insecta; Hemiptera; Pseudococcidae
Description: partial 28S large subunit ribosomal RNA
Source: RNAcentral
AAACCGUUCGGGGGUAAACGGACAGAGCCCGUGAAUCCGGGCGGCGGAAUUCAGAAUCGACGGGCGCCGUGUUCGCGCGCGCGCGUUCGUCGGUUCGAUAUUUCCGUCGCCGUGUUUGCAACUACGGACGUCGCGACCCGUUCGGUGUCGGUCUUCGGGAGACGCGUGAAAGUUCGCGAGCGCGUUGCGGCGGCGAGCCGUUUCGGCGGUUCGAUGCGCGCGCGCGCGUUCGCGAGUACGCGUUCUUUUUUUCUGGCCGACUCGCCGGACGGUACGCGUAACGGUGACCGCGGCGGCCUUACGAGCGCCGUCGCUUACGGUACCGGUCCGCGACGAAUCUUCGGGCCUCUUUCCGA